UGCAGCAACGCCGCGUGAGGGAUGACGGCCUUCGGGUUGUAAACCUCUUUUAGUAGGGAAGAAGCGAAAGUGACGGUACCUGCAGAAAAAGCACCGGCUAACUACGUGCCAGCAGCCGCGGUAAUACGUAGGGUGCAAGCGUUGUCCGGAAUUAUUGGGCGUAAAGAGCUCGUAGGCGGUUUGUCGCGUCUGCUGUGAAAUCUGGGGGCUCAACCCCCAGCCUGCAGUGGGUACGGGCAGACUAGAGUGCGGUAGGGGAGAUUGGAAUUCCUGGUGUAGCGGUGGAAUGCGCAGAUAUCAGGAGGAACACCGAUGGCGAAGGCAGAUCUCUGGGCCGUAACUGACGCUGAGGAGCGAAAGCAUGGGGAGCGAACAGGAUUAGAUACCCUGGUAGUCCAUGCCGUAAACGUUGGGAACUAGAUGUGGGGGCCAUUCCACGGUCUCCGUGUCGCAGCUAACGCAUUAAGUUCCCCGCCUGGGGAGUACGGCCGCAAGGCUAAAACUCAAAGGAAUUGACGGGGGCCCGCACAAGCGGCGGAGCAUGCGGAUUAAUUCGAUGCAACGCGAAGAACCUUACCAAGGCUUGACAUAUACCGGAAACGUCCAGAGAUGGUCGCCCCGCAGGUC
RNAcentral lists this ribosomal RNA (627 nucleotides) under Frigoribacterium sp. Ri2Ps_5080. Its description in RNAcentral is "bacterial SSU rRNA". It matches the Rfam family "Bacterial small subunit ribosomal RNA", at positions 387 to 1028 of the family's 1533-position model. The record is from RNAcentral. Lineage: Bacteria; Bacillati; Actinomycetota; Actinomycetes; Micrococcales; Microbacteriaceae. RNAcentral also lists the same sequence under 1 other name.